This is a non-coding RNA of Coffea arabica (coffee), 3533 nucleotides long. The record is from RefSeq and is a predicted model, not a curated record. NCBI's taxonomy places the organism in Eukaryota, Viridiplantae, Streptophyta, Magnoliopsida, Gentianales, Rubiaceae.
AGUCAGCCGUCACCUCAUAUUCAUAGCAUUAAAAACGAAUCAAAACGGAGCUCCUCUUCUCCAAAAACAAACUCUUAGAUGCCAUCGUUGCUACAAUCCCAUAUCCGCCAAUGGAAGAGAAUCAACAGCCCGUAUGUAUCAAGUGAAAAUACAGCAGGUGUCUAUGAAGAACUGUUCCCUGGAUUAAUCAAUUGGAUGGAACAACCAAAAAUUGUUUUGCUUAUCUUUGUUUCUGCAAAGAUUGUUCUCACUGGAGCAAAGGUUAGCGAUGAGACUUAUACCACCUUUGAGAACAUAUAUCCUGUUCUUACUGAGUUCAGGAAGAAUCAGCAAUGGUAUGAUGUUUGAUUAUGCCUAAUUACCUAACGAUUUUAGUGAUUUAAAUGUCUCUGAAGUGCUUUUUUGAAUUACCUUUUGGAUUAUUGUGUGGCAAACCUAGGUCGUUGUGAUAAGCUGGUUGUGAAUUAAAAGAGAUGACAAAAAUCAUGUUUGAUCGGGGAUAUAGGUCCUUGAAGUAUUGAUUGUACUUAUAAAGUGCUUUUGUGAAUUACCUUUUGGAUUAUUGUGUGGCAAACCAUAGGUGGUUGUGAUAAGCUGGUUGUGAAUUAAAAAGAGAUGAUAAAAAUCUUGUUUGAUGAGGGAUGUAGGUGCAUGAAGUGUUGACUGGGUACUUAUAAAGUUUUCCCAAAAGACAGAUUUUUCUACAGGAGUUGAACACAACUGUUUUCGUUUUGCAUAUGUUAAUUUAGCUAGCAUAAAAUCAUCUAAGUGCAGACACACUUAAGAUUGGGGUGAAACCAAGCCAUUUUGUCUCCUGAUUCUUUAGUUGACAUUGAGAAGUCAUUUACCAAAGGGAAAUUAAAAAAAGAAAAGAGGAACAGGGGUGUCUUGGUAUUGAACCAUUCUAAACUUGGAAAAGGUUAUGUUAGUUCAAGGAUGCUUUUUUUAUUUUAUCAGAUAGUAAUAUAUACUUUUAUCGAGAUCUGCCAUGCGGUUCUGCUAACAUAACUCUGCUUCUUGCCUCAAAUCUUGGUGAAUUGGUUACUCCAUAUUGACACUAUGUUGUUUGUAGAUAUUCUCUUUUAUUCUUUUCCCUUCUGGGUAGUAUAAUAAAUCAGAUUUUCAGCGUGAAAGUCUGAAAGUAUUCAUAUGUUUUCUUAUAAUUGUGGAAAGUAAUUCUUUGGGAUUUGAAAAGCUCCCUGCAGCAUCUCCGCCUAAUAUUGCGAUUCCUCAAUCCUGCUACUACUAUACUUUAUAUGGUGUCUCAAGUGAAUUGAGGAAUCUAUCAUUAGGCAAUACUGAAUUCAAAAUUUUGUUUUUUGACGCACGUAGGUGUGCUGUCUACCUUUAGCUCCAAAUCAUUCCUCCUAUGCUUUUAGGAUUUUUCGGUGACAAGGUAGAUACAAAUUUUUUAUUUUUAUUUUUUUCUAUCUACUUAUUUUUGUAUCUUUUGAUCUAUAGUUUUGGAAAUAACAUGUAAAAACUAUCUCUUCCUACUUAAAUUGAUUUGCUACUCUUCCUACUUAAAUUGAUUUGCUACCAUGUGUUGCUGUGGCAAAGAUUUGAGCCCAGUUGGGUGGUGGUGGUGAUCAUGGGAAUGAUGAAAAAAUCAGACGGAUUCCCAUUGAUUACUUUUCGUGAGAAUGAUAAAAAACAACCAGCUAUUUCUGACCCCACAGCACCACCAUCACCUGCUGCCCAUCUCCUACCCAGCUAAUCUACAUAAUUAAUGGUUUUUAUGCAUGUUAGGUAGCAUUUUUUUUUUUUUUUACUUUUUCGUUUUGAAAUCCGUAUUAGCACUGAACAGAUGACAUGAUGCAUCUGGGUGCAAUGUUCCGGCAAUUUUUCAGAAAUUGAAAGAGAAGGCCUUGUGAUGUGAGAAAUAGAUAUUUGCUACUCUUGAUGGGUAAUUUAUCUACCCACCUGAUGAUUUUCUAUCCACCAAGAUCUCUGAGGCCUGCUGCUCUUUUAAAAUUUGCUUACAAAACUUCUGCACCUCAAUUAGCUCCCAAGUUUCCUUGAAUGGGCUUGCCAUAUGCAAUAGAGAUGCUAAGAGUCUUUACCAGGGAAACCUACAUAUACAUCUUAAGAUCAUUAUUUUGUAUCUCACAACAUAUGUAUACUAACAUAACCAGCUUAAAGCUACAUUGGCAUGAAGUUAUCAUCUAACAACUUCCUAAAAGAAAGAAAGCACAUGUUAGAUUUAUGGCGCUCAGGUUUAGUCGAAGUAUGAUUAAAUUGUAUGUCAAAGACUCUGAACUUUUAAACUCAGAAGAUUGUGUUGAAAUCAGCCUAUAGCCAGAGCUCCAACAAGCAUGGUUUUCCUGUUUGUCUAGUUUCUCAAAAAGAUUACCAUGACAAGAUGAAAUCUGUUGCACCACUUAAUUAUGCAGGCUCCCUUUACGAACUAAUACCAAUCUUGCAGGAUUGUAGUUACAUCACGCUACCACAAGUUUGCUGAUAUAUUAAGUCCAUUCUGUUGGUGGCCAUCCCAUUCAGUUCCCCUCUUUACCAUUUUGCUCACUUCGUGUUUGGCAUGAAAUUAUUUCCUGGAGCGUUACUAAUUCUGUUUGUUAUUUCUAAAAAGCAGUUCUUUCAGCACCUCCAAAGUUGGUGUACAGUAAACUAGUUCUGCACUUCACAAGGAAACUUUUGGUGGCAGUUGCAGAGAAGUGGGGUAGUCAUGUUCUUGUUAUUGAUAAAGUUGCACCCCCUAAUUGAAAGGUUAGGUAUACCAUUUGUUAGCUGAUCUUGGAGUUAACAGCUAGAUUGGUGUCUAGGAAUUCUGAAUUCUCUACGUGCUUUCUUUACUGGCAAAAGGGAGUGGUUUUCAUUUGCUUAACAAUGACUUCUAUUUCUGAUAGGUCAAGAUUGUAUUUUAUUUGCAGAAUGAAACUGUACGCAGAGAAAGGAGCUGGAUAGUUCUCAUCACUUGAAUAAGAAACCUAAAAUUCUAAGAUCCCUAGACUCCUGCAAGAUGUUGAUGUGUGUUGCUUGUAAACUGCUGUUUCCCAAUUACCAUAAAAGACUGGGAGUUAGUUUAAACUGUUUAAAAAGAUAAGAUGCUAAUCACCUUUUGCAGAAACAUUCUUUUCCUUUCCACCUUUAAAGAUCAGCCUUUCUUAUCAUAUUUUUUCCUAGUUAUAGAAGGAGUAUGUUGAUGAACUUGGAAGAUCUUGUUUAUCUGCCCGAGGGACCAAGCAGCAGGGCUGUUGGGUGCCCUGAAAGUUAUGGGGUCCCCUUAGAGCAUCCAAUGGCUCUGAAUAUUGCAUAGUUGCCAGGAUAUCCCAUCCUUUGUUGCCCCUCCCCCUCUCUUUGUCCAUUGUUCUUGAUGAGUUUUUCCCAUCUCUCUAAUAUUUGGAAUUUUAUGUGUAGAUUUUUGUAUAAUCCAACUUUAUCCUGAAUUGUAUUCUGAUCUCAAAUUUCUGCUCAUUUAAGCUGUAUGUAGUUAAUGAUCUUCUGCAUUUCAUUUUAUAUCAACUCUGGCUGAUUGCCCUUAUCAAUCAAAGCUUGGAUAAUGAAAAUUUUUAAGG